GUGGGGAAUCUUCCGCAAUGGACGAAAGUCUGACGGAGCAACGCCGCGUGAGUGAAGAAGGUUUUCGGAUCGUAAAGCUCUUUCGUUAGGGACGAACGUGCUCUUUGUGAAUAAUGAGGAGUAAUGACGGUACCUAAAUAAGAAGCCACGGCUAACUACGUGCCAGCAGCCGCGGUAAUACGUAGGUGGCAAGCGUUGUCCGGAAUUAUUGGGCGUAAAGCGCGCGCAGGCGGGAUAUCAAGUCUGUCUUAAAAGUGCGAGGCUCAACCUCGUGAGGGGACAGAAACUGGUAUUGUUGAGUGUCGGGGAGGAAAUUGGAAUUCCAAGUGUAGCGGUGAAAUGCGAAGAGAUUUGGAAGAACACCAGUGGCGAAGGCGACUUUCUGGACGAAAACUGACGCUGAGGCGCGAAAGCCAGGGGAGCGAACGGGAUUAGAAACCCUGGUAGUCC
This 450-nucleotide ribosomal RNA is filed under the name uncultured bacterium. RNAcentral describes it as "partial 16S ribosomal RNA". It matches the Rfam family "Bacterial small subunit ribosomal RNA", at positions 354 to 796 of the family's 1533-position model. The record is from RNAcentral.